This 373-nucleotide ribosomal RNA is filed under the name uncultured organism. RNAcentral's name for it is "bacterial SSU rRNA". It matches the Rfam family "Bacterial small subunit ribosomal RNA", at positions 526 to 896 of the family's 1533-position model. The record is from RNAcentral.
CGUAGGGACCGAGCGUUGUCCGGAUUCAUUGGGCGUAAAGAGCUCGUAGGCGGCUGCUCAAGUCGAAUGUGAAACCUCGAGGCUUAACCUCGAGCCUGCAUUCGAUACUGGGCGGCUAGAGUCUGGUAGGGGGAUCUGGAAUUCCUGGUGUAGCGGUGGAAUGCGCAGAUAUCAGGAGGAACACCGGUGGCGAAGGCGGGAUCCUGGGCCAGUACUGACGCUGAGGAGCGAAAGCGUGGGGAGCAAACAGGAUUAGAUACCCUGGUAGUCCGCGCCGUAAACGAUGGGCGCUAGGUGUGGGAGGUCAUCGACUCCUUCCGUGCCGCAGCUAACGCAUUAAGCGCCCCGCCUGGGGAGUACGGCCGCAAGGCUA